CAGGUGCAAUUAAGUUAGCCAAUCAAUAAACCUAACAAUCGAGAGAUUAUCCAGGUGGGCCUGACUUAAUCAUAUAAACUCUUUAAAUCUGGGUGUAGAGGUUAGCGACAGAGAAAUCAGAUACUAGAUGCAUCCUUUCUGACUUGAAGAUGAAGGCAAUUUUGUGACAAGUGAUGCUGGUGGCAUGUAAGACCUGUAAGCAGGCCCCAGCUGACAGUCCGUUAGAAAGGAAACAGGGGCUGCAGUUCUCCAACUGCAAAACACGGAAUUUUGCUUGAAAUUUAACUUGGAAGCAGACUUUCUCCCAGAGCUUCUAGAUGAAAACUCAGCCUGGCCAACCCCUUGGUGUCAGCUUUGUGUUACCCUGAGCAGGUACCCAAGACAUAUGGUUCUGGACUGCGGACCCACGGAAAGGGUGAGCAUCCACAUCUACCACCCGUGACCAGACUUCUCCACCUGUUGGCGAGCUUAAGUUAAAGUUAUCAAUAUAUGCCCCAAAACAGCAAUCACCUGGAUGAGAAGCAGAUGACAUCUAAUGUAGACUGUGAAUCCCAAGACACAGACCAGACUACCUCUCAUCAUCCAAAGUUGAAGUGGACAAGAAAGUCAAGUAAAGUUCAAGAAAGAUCCUAUUUGACUGCUAUUGUCAACCUGCUUUGGCAUUGGAGUGUUGUUGGGAUUCAUUUCAUAGAUUCAUGAGAAAAUAACCUCUCCAUCACAGGAGAGCGCGCUCACUGUGCCAUUCAUAUGGGUGAAUGCUUUUCCCUGGCCUGGUCAUAUGGGUUUCUUUAGAUAUGAAGUACUUCCCUUCCAUCUUUUAUCUCCUGCAGUUUCCUCAUUGCUUUUGACAAUCUCGAACCUAAUGUGAGGUAAUUGUAGGCCAUUUCUUAAUCAUGUAGCACACAGCAAUCCCUAUGCCCUUGCUUAUGAGAGAGUAUGGAACUCACAGUAACUUGAUAGUUUGCCCAAAAAAUCAUCAUUUGAUCUCCUACUCAAGCGCUCUGUAUUCUCCAUGUAUCCUUCUUUGCAAGUGGUCAGUUUGGAUUAUGGGGGGAAUUAUCUAUUGUUUUGAGAUGAAGUCUAAGGUUGAAAUAUACCAGUUAGGGAUUCUUUGGGUUACAAAACAGACUACUUACCAUUGUAGUUAUUAAAAGCAUUUAACUGUUUUACGUAGUUAGAGAUCAGAGAUAGGAAAUGUCAUAUGUGACACAGUGCCAUGUUAUUAAGAACCUAGUUCUCUUAAUUAUUUCGCUCUACUGUAUAUGUUGCUUUUGUUUUACCUUUUGGAUUGCCCAUCUCAAGGAUAAGCAACAUAUCUUCAGAAAAUAAGCAGGAAGAUGAGGUAAAAAGGCUUGGAAAUUGAAUAUUUUUAUGUACCUGCUGCUGUUGCUAGGAAACUGAAUAUACCCCAGAAACCAUUUUUUUGUCCCAUGAGACUUCCUCUUGGGACUCAAUGACAAUAACUAUGCUAUAUGACCACUUUAUCAGACAAUGAAUGGAUAUUCUAAAGUUUUGAGAGGGAGCUAAAGUCUAUGCCUAUAGAAUAGUGAGUUUUGUAGUGAAUACUAAAGAAUGAAAAUAUAAAGGAAGAGUAAUUUCAGUGAACAAUUAACUCUCAUCAUUAAAUUAUUUAAAAGGUAUAAAAUAUAAUUUUUCAAAAUGUGUGAUAUAUGGAUUAGAUAGACCGUGCACUCCAUAAGGAAGAGUUCCCAAAUAAGAUCAGGACAAAGAAAUUACAUGUUCCUAUUUUUAAGAUACUAUAAAAAGCUAAGACCAGAAUUCAUUAUUCAUGGAUUUUUACAUAUUCAAAACACUGUCAUUGUUUCGUGAUGAAUAGAGUAACAGUUAUACCAUCAAGGACAGAUAGAAAAUGCCUUUCUCCAAAUUAGCUUUUAUCAAGUUGACUAUAGCUCCAAGACAUACAUUAGUUUAGGAGGAGAUGAUUUAUAUAGAUUCCAAUAAUAGUCUCACUGUCCUGGAUACCAAUCAAUAGAGACUUCUUAUAUUAUUCACUUGACUUUGUCAUUUAUGCUGACAUACAGACAAAGAUCAUUGUACAAGAUUAUAAAGAGACAAAGUCUGGGCAUGUUAAAAUAGUGCUUUUAAAAAGAACUUUGAACUUUAGCAAAGUAUAUUUUAAUGACCUGAUAGAAUCUACUAACAAUAUUUUAAAUAACAACAAGACAUCUGUCUUCUUUACCUUUCAAUUUCUUCUGGAUUUUUGUAGAAAUAAUAAUGAAAAUAUACUUCUCGUAUAUUUAACAUCAAAACAAAAAGAUUGGGGCCGGCCUGGUGGCGCAGUGGUUAUUAAGUUCACACAUUCUGCUUCUUGGCAGCCUGAGGUUCGCCGGUUCGGAUGCUGGGUGCAGACAUGGCACCGCUUGGCAAAAGCCAUGCUGUGACACAAUACACAGCCAAUGGGAUGCACACAAGAUGCCAUUCACCCAACAAUAGGGAGCUUUGCAUUCAUUCUCUCUUAAUGGUCUAUGAAGAGCAGGUGAGAAAUUCCUCAAACCUGCAUCUGGAUGUCUAUUUGCUACCCCUGAUCUUUGGGAUUAUAAACUCCAGCCUCCAAGAAGUGGUGCCUGAAAACCAGGACCAGUACCAGGGAAACUGCCUCCUAAAUGGACUGUGACACUUUAUAAACCAACCAGAGGAUGUCAUUUCAGUGCUCAAUUUUCUCCAUCCAUGAAAUAAAAAUAAAAAGUUUAUUAGAAAAUGUGGCUAUGGAAAAGAGACUCUUAGAAUUUUACUCUCAAACUGGAUCUUUCAUUAAUCAGAUUGAGACAAGAGCUCAUUGUCAGUGACAUGGUGAAAACCAGCAUGCUGUAGCAUCAGCUGCAGUGGACUGGAAGGAGCCACAGGUGGAAAGGGAAGCAUUGGCUUUUGCAGAAGCUCUAGAACUUGAAUGGAAUGAGGGGAAUGUUUAGGAUUGUGUAGAUCUGACUAAGAAGUCUUGAACAGAGAAUGACAAGCUCAAGUUAGUCAACUCUCCUGUACAGCAUGUUUUG
RNAcentral lists this long non-coding RNA (3011 nucleotides) under Equus caballus (horse). RNAcentral's name for it is "lncRNA (ENSECAG00000056532.1)". Lineage: Eukaryota; Metazoa; Chordata; Mammalia; Perissodactyla; Equidae. The record is from RNAcentral.